This 250-nucleotide ribosomal RNA is filed under the name uncultured bacterium. RNAcentral describes it as "partial 16S ribosomal RNA". It matches the Rfam family "Bacterial small subunit ribosomal RNA", at positions 355 to 602 of the family's 1533-position model. The record is from RNAcentral.
UAAGGAAUAUUGGUCAAUGGAGGGAACUCUGAACCAGCCAUGCCGCGUGCAGGAAGAAGGUCCUCUGGAUUGUAAACUGCUUUUAUAAGAGACGAAAAAGCGAGAUUUAUCUUGUGUUGACGGUAUCUUGUGAAUAAGCACCGGCUAACUCCGUGCCAGCAGCCGCGGUAAUACGGAGGGUGCAAGCGUUAUCCGGAAUCACUGGGUUUAAAGGGUGCGUAGGCGGUCAAAUAAGUCAGUAUUGAAAGCU